UGCAAGUCGAACGGUAACAGGAAGCAGCUUGCUGCUUUGCUGACGAGUGGCGGACGGGUGAGUAAUGUCUGGGAAACUGCCUGAUGGAGGGGGAUAACUACUGGAAACGGUAGCUAAUACCGCAUAACGUCGCAAGACCAAAGAGGGGGACCUUCGGGCCUCUUGCCAUCGGAUGUGCCCAGAUGGGAUUAGCUAGUAGGUGGGGUAACGGCUCACCUAGGCGACGAUCCCUAGCUGGUCUGAGAGGAUGACCAGCCACACUGGAACUGAGACACGGUCCAGACUCCUACGGGAGGCAGCAGUGGGGAAUAUUGCACAAUGGGCGCAAGCCUGAUGCAGCCAUGCCGCGUGUAUGAAGAAGGCCUUCGGGUUGUAAAGUACUUUCAGCGGGGAGGAAGGGAGUAAAGUU
This 409-nucleotide ribosomal RNA is filed under the name Escherichia coli. Its description in RNAcentral is "bacterial SSU rRNA". It matches the Rfam family "Bacterial small subunit ribosomal RNA", at positions 56 to 461 of the family's 1533-position model. The record is from RNAcentral. Lineage: Bacteria; Pseudomonadati; Pseudomonadota; Gammaproteobacteria; Enterobacterales; Enterobacteriaceae.